RNAcentral lists this ribosomal RNA (1437 nucleotides) under uncultured organism. RNAcentral's name for it is "SSU rRNA". It matches the Rfam family "Bacterial small subunit ribosomal RNA". The record is from RNAcentral.
UUACAGGCUUAACACAUGCAAGUCGAGGGGCAUCAGGAAGAAAGCUUGCUUUCUUUGCUGGCGACCGGCGCACGGGUGAGUAACACGUAUCCAACCUGCCCUUUACUCGGGGAUAGCCUUUCGAAAGAAAGAUUAAUACCCGAUGGCAUAAUGAUUCCGCAUGGUUUCAUUAUUAAAGGAUUCCGGUAAAGGAUGGGGAUGCGUUCCAUUAGGUUGUUGGUGAGGUAACGGCUCACCAAGCCUUCGAUGGAUAGGGGUUCUGAGAGGAAGGUCCCCCACAUUGGAACUGAGACACGGUCCAAACUCCUACGGGAGGCAGCAGUGAGGAAUAUUGGUCAAUGGGCGCUAGCCUGAACCAGCCAAGUAGCGUGAAGGAUGAAGGCUCUAUGGGUCGUAAACUUCUUUUAUAUAAGAAUAAAGUGCAGUAUGUAUACUGUUUUGUAUGUAUUAUAUGAAUAAGGAUCGGCUAACUCCGUGCCAGCAGCCGCGGUAAUACGGAGGAUCCGAGCGUUAUCCGGAUUUAUUGGGUUUAAAGGGAGCGUAGGUGGACUGGUAAGUCAGUUGUGAAAGUUUGCGGCUCAACCGUAAAAUUGCAGUUGAUACUGUCAGUCUUGAGUACAGUAGAGGUGGGCGGAAUUCGUGGUGUAGCGGUGAAAUGCUUAGAUAUCACGAAGAACUCCGAUUGCGAAGGCAGCUCACUGGACUGCAACUGACACUGAUGCUCGAAAGUGUGGGUAUCAAACAGGAUUAGAUACCCUGGUAGUCCACACAGUAAACGAUGAAUACUCGCUGUUUGCGAUAUACAGUAAGCGGCCAAGCGAAAGCAUUAAGUAUUCCACCUGGGGAGUACGCCGGCAACGGUGAAACUCAAAGGAAUUGACGGGGGCCCGCACAAGCGGAGGAACAUGUGGUUUAAUUCGAUGAUACGCGAGGAACCUUACCCGGGCUUAAAUUGCAGUGGAAUGAUGUGGAAACAUGUCAGUGAGCAAUCACCGCUGUGAAGGUGCUGCAUGGUUGUCGUCAGCUCGUGCCGUGAGGUGUCGGCUUAAGUGCCAUAACGAGCGCAACCCUUAUCUUUAGUUACUAACAGGUUAUGCUGAGGACUCUAGAGAGACUGCCGUCGUAAGAUGUGAGGAAGGUGGGGAUGACGUCAAAUCAGCACGGCCCUUACGUCCGGGGCUACACACGUGUUACAAUGGGGGGUACAGAAGGCAGCUAGCGGGUGACCGUAUGCUAAUCCCAAAAGCCUCUCUCAGUUCGGAUCGAAGUCUGCAACCCGACUUCGUGAAGCUGGAUUCGCUAGUAAUCGCGCAUCAGCCACGGCGCGGUGAAUACGUUCCCGGGCCUUGUACACACCGCCCGUCAAGCCAUGGGAGCCGGGGGUACCUGAAGUACGUAACCGCAAGGAUCGUCCUAGGGUAAAACUGGUGACUGGGG